GCUUGAUGACAGGCCAAGCUUGUUGCAGGUCUUGUAUGAACCUGGAAGUCAAGAAGGAUCAGGACUGGUUAGUAUUUGGAUUGAAAACUACCUGGAAAUACUAGGCACUAUAGGCU
Molecule: ribosomal RNA, 116 nt
Filed under: Salvator merianae (Argentine black and white tegu)
Lineage: Eukaryota; Metazoa; Chordata; Lepidosauria; Squamata; Teiidae
Source: RNAcentral